GACGAACGCUGGCGGCGUGCCUAAUACAUGCAAGUAGAACGCUGAAGGAGGAGCUUGCUUCUCUGGAUGAGUUGCGAACGGGUGAGUAACGCGUAGGUAACCUGCCUGGUAGCGGGGGAUAACUAUUGGAAACGAUAGCUAAUACCGCAUAAGAGUAGAUGUUGCAUGACAUUUGCUUAAAAGGUGCAAUUGCAUCACUACCAGAUGGACCUGCGUUGUAUUAGCUAGUUGGUGGGGUAACGGCUUACCAAGGCGACGAUACAUAGCCGACCUGAGAGGGUGAUCGGCCACACUGGGACUGGGACACGGCCCAGACUCCUACGGGAGGCAGCAGUAGGGAAUCUUCGGCAAUGGACGGAAGUCUGACCGAGCAACGCCGCGUGAGUGAAGAAGGUUGUCGGAUCGUAAAGCUCUGUUGUAAGAGAAGAACGAGUGUGAGAGUGGAAAGUUCACACUGUGACGGUAUCUUACCAGAAAGGGACGGCUAACUACGUG
RNAcentral lists this ribosomal RNA (495 nucleotides) under uncultured bacterium. RNAcentral's name for it is "partial 16S ribosomal RNA". It matches the Rfam family "Bacterial small subunit ribosomal RNA", at positions 28 to 507 of the family's 1533-position model. The record is from RNAcentral.